Molecule: ribosomal RNA, 611 nt
Filed under: uncultured bacterium
Lineage: Bacteria
Description: bacterial SSU rRNA
Rfam family: Bacterial small subunit ribosomal RNA (bases 1-525)
Source: RNAcentral
CCUACGGGAGGCAGCAGUGGGGAAUAUUGCGCAAUGGGCGAAAGCCUGACGCAGCGACGCAGCGUGAGGGACGAAGGCCUUCGGGUUGUAAACCUCUUUCAGCGGGGACGAAGCGAAAGUGACGGUACCCGCAGAAGAAGCACCGGCUAACUACGUGCCAGCAGCCGCGGUAAUACGUAGGGUGCGAGCAUUGUCCGGAUUUAUUGGGCGUAAAGAGCUCGUAGGCGGCUUGUCACGUCGGAUGUGAAAACUCGGGGCUCAACCCCGAGCCUGCAUUCGAUACGGGCUAGCUAGAGUGUUGCAGGGGAGACUGGAAUUCCUGGUGUAGCGGUGAAAUGCGCAGAUAUCAGGAGGAACACCGGUGGCGAAGGCGGGUCUCUGGGCAACUACUGACGCUGAGGAGCGAAAGCGUGGGGAGCGAACAGGAUUAGAUACCCUGGUAGUCCACGCCGUAAACGGUGGGCGCUAGGUGUGGGGAACCUUCCACGUUCUCUGUGCCGUAGCUAACGCAUUAAGCGCCCCGCCUGGGGAGGUACGGCCGCGAGACGUAAACUACAANAGAAGUUAGACGGCGUGAGACGUGCCGAACGGACGACGACGAGGGAGGUAGG